Molecule: ribosomal RNA, 541 nt
Filed under: uncultured bacterium
Lineage: Bacteria
Description: bacterial SSU rRNA
Rfam family: Bacterial small subunit ribosomal RNA
Source: RNAcentral
UGAGGAAUAUUGGUCAAUGGACGCAAGUCUGAACCAGCCAAGUAGCGUGCAGGAUGACGGCCCUAUGGGUUGUAAACUGCUUUUAUAUGGGGAUAAAGUGGGGAACGUGGUUCCCUUUUGCAGGUACCAUAUGAAUAAGGACCGGCUAAUUCCGUGCCAGCAGCCGCGGUAAUACGGAAGGUUCGGGCGUUAUCCGGAUUUAUUGGGUUUAAAGGGAGCGUAGGCCGUUUGGUAAGCGUGUUGUGAAAUGUAGGAGCUCAACUUCUAGAUUGCAGCGCGAACUGUCAGACUUGAGUGCGCACAACGUAGGCGGAAUUCAUGGUGUAGCGGUGAAAUGCUUAGAUAUCAUGAAGAACUCCGAUUGCGAAGGCAGCUUACGGGAGCGCAACUGACGCUGAAGCUCGAAGGUGCGGGUAUCGAACAGGAUUAGAUACCCUGGUAGUCCGCACAGUAAACGAUGGAUGCCCGCUGUUAGCACCUAGUGUUAGCGGCUAAGCGAAAGCAUUAAGCAUCCCACCUGGGGAGUACGCCGGCAACGGUG